UACGUAGGUGGCAAGCGUUGUCCGGAAUUAUUGGGCGUAAAGCGCGCGCAGGCGGUCCCUUAAGUCUGAUGUGAAAGCCCACGGCUCAACCGUGGAGGGUCAUUGGAAACUGGGGGACUUGAGUACAGAAGAGGAAAGUGGAAUUCCACGUGUAGCGGUGAAAUGCGUAGAGAUGUGGAGGAACACCAGUGGCGAAGGCGACUUUCUGGUCUGUAACUGACGCUGAGGCGCGAAAGCGUGGGGAGCAAACAGG
RNAcentral lists this ribosomal RNA (253 nucleotides) under uncultured bacterium. Its description in RNAcentral is "partial 16S ribosomal RNA". It matches the Rfam family "Bacterial small subunit ribosomal RNA", at positions 524 to 776 of the family's 1533-position model. The record is from RNAcentral.